GGAAGAUGCAUACACACUCUUCCGAAAAAGAGGAAAUAGAAGCUUCAUCAUCGCCCUGGUCCCCACCAGGCCAGCAACAUCCGUGUACUAAUGAGGACCUAUACUUAGUUUAUACAAAAGUUGCAAGCUGUUACGUAAAUCACACUGCUGGUGUGAAGGAUGUCAGUGUGUAGCUAGCUCCAGAACUCUACAUACAUGUCUCUGGCUUUCCCUGUUUCCAGCUUUCCCAUAUAUUUUCUUCCUAUCUACAAACACCCAGGUUGGGAAGUGGAUUCAUUGCGAG
RNAcentral lists this long non-coding RNA (283 nucleotides) under Fukomys damarensis (Damara mole-rat). RNAcentral's name for it is "lncRNA (ENSFDAG00000022776.1)". The record is from RNAcentral. Lineage: Eukaryota; Metazoa; Chordata; Mammalia; Rodentia; Bathyergidae.